GUGAAAUUGUUGAAAGGGAAGCGCUUGCAACCAGACCUGCCUGCAGUUGCUCAUCCGGGCUUUUGCCCGGUGCACUCUUCUGCUGUCAGGCCAGCAUCAGUUCGGGCGGUCGGAUAAAGGCUUCGGGAAUGUAGCUCCUCUCGAGGAGUGUUAUAGCCCGUUGCGAAAUGCGGCCAGCCUGAACUGAGGUCCGCGCUUCGGCUAGGAUGCUGGCGUAAUGGUUGUAAGCGGCCCGUCUUGAAACACGGACCAAGGAGUCUAACAUCUGUGCGAGUGUUUGGGUGUCAAACCCGUACGCGUAAUGAAAGUGAACGGAGGCGGGAACCCCUCGGGGUGCACCGUCGACCGAUCCUGAUGUCUUCGGAUGGAUUUGAGUAAGAGCAUAGCUGUUGGGACCCGAAAGAUGGUGAACUAUGCCUGAAUAGGGUGAAGCCAGAGGAAACUCUGGUGGAGGCUCGCAGCGGUUCUGACGUGCAAAUCGAUCGUCAAAUUUGGGCAUAGGGGCGAAAGACUAAUCGAACUAUCUAGUAGCUGGUUCCUGCCGAAGUUUCCCUCAGGAUAGCAGUAACGUUUUCAGUUUUAUGAGGUAAAGCGAAUGAUUAGAGGCCUGGGGGUUGAAACAACCUUCACCUAUUCUCAAACUUUAAAUAUGUAAGAAGUCCUUGUUGCUUAGUUGAACGUGGACAUUUGAAUGUAUCGUUACUAGUGGGCCAUUUUUGGUAAGCAGAACUGGCGAUGCGGGAUGAACCGAACGCGGAGUUAAGGUGCCGGAAUGCACGCUCAUCAGACACCACAAAAGGUGUUGGUUCAUCUAG
Molecule: ribosomal RNA, 815 nt
Filed under: uncultured Ascomycota
Lineage: Eukaryota; Fungi; Ascomycota
Description: LSU rRNA
Rfam family: Eukaryotic large subunit ribosomal RNA
Source: RNAcentral